UACGGAGGGUGCAAGCGUUAUCCGGAAUCACUGGGUUUAAAGGGUGCGUAGGCUGUUAGAUAAGUCAGUUGUGAAAUUCUCCGGCUUAACCGGGCGAACUGCGAUUGAUACUGUUUAACUUGAAUGAGGUUGAGGUAGGCGGAAUGUGGCAUGUAGCGGUGAAAUGCUUAGAUAUCGUCAAGAACACCGAUAGCGAAGGCAGCUUACUAGACUGUAACUGACGCUGAGGCACGAAAGUGUGGGGAUCAAACAGG
RNAcentral lists this ribosomal RNA (254 nucleotides) under uncultured bacterium. RNAcentral's name for it is "partial 16S ribosomal RNA". It matches the Rfam family "Bacterial small subunit ribosomal RNA", at positions 524 to 776 of the family's 1533-position model. The record is from RNAcentral.